AAGUGGAGGACCGAACCCACAUCCGUUGAAAAGGGUGGGGAUGAGGUGUGGAUAGCGGAGAAAUUCCAAUCGAACCCGGAGAUAGCUGGUUCUCCUCGAAAUAGCUUUAGGGCUAGCCUCAUGAGAGUCUUAUGGAGGUAGAGCACUGAAUUGCCUAGGGGGCGUCAAAGCUUACCAAAGCAUAUCAAACUCCGAAUGCCAUCAAGAUGAUUCAUGGGAGUCAGACCAUACGAGAUAAGUUGGAUGGUCAAAAGGGAAAGAGCCCAGACCUACAGCUAAGGUCCCAAAGUACGUGUUAAGUGGAAAAGGAUGUGGGGAUUCUAAGACAACUAGGACGUUGGCUUAGAAGCAGCCAUUCAUUGAAAGAGUGCGUAAUAGCUCACUAGUCGAGAGUCCCUGCGCCGAAAAUGUCCGGGGCUGAAACACGACACCGAAGCUUAGGAAUGUGUAAACAUUGGUAGAGGAGCAUUGCUGGCGGGAUGAAGCCAUACCGUAAGGAGUGGUGGACUGCUAGGAAGAGAGAAUGCCGGAAUGAGUAGCGAGAUGAAGGUGAGAAUCCUUCAGGCCGAAUAUCUAAGGUUUCCAGAGUAAAGCUGAUCUGCUCUGGGUAAGUCGGGACCUAAGGCGAGGUCGAAAGACGUAGUCGAUGGAUAACAGGUUGAAAUUCCUGUACCGCAUAUAAACAGAACUGUGGGGACACAGACAGGGAAUGGAAUCCGGGAAUGGAGAUCCCGGUGCAAGCGAGGUAGGAGUGCUGUUGGCAAAUCCGCAGC
Molecule: ribosomal RNA, 773 nt
Filed under: Anaerostipes hadrus
Lineage: Bacteria; Bacillati; Bacillota; Clostridia; Lachnospirales; Lachnospiraceae
Description: partial 23S ribosomal RNA
Rfam family: Bacterial large subunit ribosomal RNA
Source: RNAcentral